RNAcentral lists this ribosomal RNA (253 nucleotides) under uncultured bacterium. RNAcentral describes it as "partial 16S ribosomal RNA". It matches the Rfam family "Bacterial small subunit ribosomal RNA", at positions 524 to 776 of the family's 1533-position model. The record is from RNAcentral.
GACGUAGGAGGCGAGCGUUAUCCGGAUUCACUGGGCGUAAAGCGCAGGUAGGUGGUUCGUUAAGUCGGUUGUGAAAGCCCCUGGCUCAACUGGGGGAGGUCAACCGAGACUGGGGGACUGGAGGUUCAGAGAGGAGAGCGGAAUUCCCGGUGUAGCGGUGGAAUGCGUAGAGAUCGGGAGGAACACCAGUGGCGAAAGCGGCUCUCUGGCUGAAAACUGACACUGAACUGCGAAAGCGUGGGUAGCAAACGGG